ACUGCAGGCUGCAACUCGCCUGCACGAAGUCGGAAUCGCUAGUAAUCGCGGAUCAGCACGCCGCGGUGAAUACGUUCCCGGGCCUUGUACACACCGCCCGUCACACCACGGAAGUUGGGAGUACCCAAAGUAGGUUGCCUAACCGCAAGGAGGGCGCUUCCUAAGGUAAGACCGAUGACUGGGGUGAAGUCGUAACAAGGUACC
RNAcentral lists this ribosomal RNA (204 nucleotides) under uncultured bacterium. Its description in RNAcentral is "partial 16S ribosomal RNA". It matches the Rfam family "Bacterial small subunit ribosomal RNA", at positions 1297 to 1500 of the family's 1533-position model. The record is from RNAcentral.